This 566-nucleotide ribosomal RNA is filed under the name Tremellodendropsis sp. USJ 54427. RNAcentral's name for it is "eukaryotic LSU rRNA". It matches the Rfam family "Eukaryotic large subunit ribosomal RNA", at positions 77 to 626 of the family's 3401-position model. The record is from RNAcentral. Lineage: Eukaryota; Fungi; Basidiomycota; Agaricomycetes; Tremellodendropsidales; Tremellodendropsidaceae.
CCCCUAGUAACGGCGAGUGAAGCGGGAACAGCUCAAAUUUGAAAUCUGGCGGUCUACGGCCGUCCGAGUUGUAGUCUAGAGAGGCGUCUUCCGUGCCGGACCGUGUACAAGUCCCUUGGGAUAGGGCGUCDUAGAGGGUGAGAACCCCGUCAAUGACACGGACCCCCGGUGCUCUGUGAUGCGCCUUCGAAUAGUCGAGUUGUUUGGGAAUGCAGCUCAAAACGGGUGGUAAAUUCCAUCUAAAGCUAAAUACCGGUGGGAGACCGAUAGCGAACAAGUACCGUGAGGGAAAGAUGAAAAGCACUUUGGAAAGAGAGUUAAACAGUACGUGAAAUUGUUGAAAGGGAAACGCUUGGAGUCAGUCGCGUCCGUCGGGAUUCAGCCGGGCUUUUGUCCGGCGCAUUUCUCGGUGGAUGGGCCAGCAUCGAUUUCAGCUGCCGGAAAAGGGUCGGAGGAAUGUGGCACCUUCGGGUGUGUUAUAGCCUCCGAUCGCACACGGUGGCCGGGAUCGAGGACAGCAGCGCGCCUCAGCGGCCGGGGUUCUCCCACGCACGCGCUUAGGAUGC